RNAcentral lists this long non-coding RNA (240 nucleotides) under Hordeum vulgare. RNAcentral describes it as "long non-coding RNA (HVUL_LNC018351)". Lineage: Eukaryota; Viridiplantae; Streptophyta; Magnoliopsida; Poales; Poaceae. The record is from RNAcentral.
UUCUUCUACUUCUCCUCUUCUUCUAUUUUUCCUCUUCUUCUCCUCUCCUCCUCUUAUUAUUCUCCUUUUUCUUCUUUUCUUCUCCUCCUCUUCUUAUUUUCCUUUUCCCUAAUUCUACAUAUUACUAACCCUAAUAAUCUAGCACAAACCUAAUAACAAUAGGAAUUAAAUGACAAAAAAAUCUUUUUCUUCUUUUCUUCUCCUUUUUCUUCCUUUCUUCUCCUUUUUCUUCCUUUCUUC